GGGUUUCAGUUUUUAAAAAAGAGUAAAGUCGUACUUUUAAUCCGUUGGUCGCGAGUUCGAAUCUCGCCCGACCCACCA
This 78-nucleotide transfer RNA is filed under the name Polynucleobacter paneuropaeus. RNAcentral's name for it is "tRNA-Lys". The record is from RNAcentral. Lineage: Bacteria; Pseudomonadati; Pseudomonadota; Betaproteobacteria; Burkholderiales; Burkholderiaceae.